RNAcentral lists this unclassified non-coding RNA (291 nucleotides) under uncultured bacterium. Its description in RNAcentral is "contains 16S-23S intergenic spacer region". The record is from RNAcentral.
UCCGGUUUGUCACCGGCAGUCUCCUUAGAGUGCCCACCAUUACGUGCAUGGAUCCCGAAGGAGGCCCCUGGUUUCUCAGGAGUUUCCCAUGCAUGUCAAGCCUAGGUAAGGUUCUUCGCGUUGCGUCGAAUUAAACCACAUGCUCCACCGCUUGUGCGGGCCCCCGUCAAUUCCUUUGAGUUUUAGCCUUGCGGCCGUACUCCCCAGGCGGGGUGCUUAAUGCGUUAGCUGCGGCACGGGGGGAGUCGACACCCCCCACACCUAGCACCCAUCGUUUACGGCGUGGACUAC